This is a microRNA precursor of Bison bison bison, 61 nucleotides long. Lineage: Eukaryota; Metazoa; Chordata; Mammalia; Artiodactyla; Bovidae. The record is from Ensembl.
GCCGGCCGCUUCCCAGCCAGGCUGAAAGGGCUCGGGAAGCUAGCUGGCCUUGUUGGCCCUU